Long non-coding RNA from Nymphaea colorata (pocket water lily), 698 nucleotides. RefSeq lists it as uncharacterized. The record is from RefSeq and is a predicted model, not a curated record. The transcript is spliced from 2 exons. Lineage: Eukaryota; Viridiplantae; Streptophyta; Magnoliopsida; Nymphaeales; Nymphaeaceae.
AGAAGGUUUCGCCUCCAAUUCCAACACGAAAUUAGAUCAGAGAGAAGACGAACCGGUUCGAGCAUCCAGAGGAGGCCGUGUUUCCCUGAGAGCUUUGUGCAUCAAAAGGGUGGGGUUCAGGCCUCAGGUGUCUGGCAGGCCGCGGUGUUACGCUCUCAGCGGAUAACCAUACGAUUAAGCAAUAUGGGUGAAAUGACUGGUAGUGCCAUGAAAAAUAUGUCCCCGUGCGAUGUUGCAGCUCUAAAGAAAUGCUUGGAAGAAAACAAGGGAGACCGCACAAAAUGCCAGUCACUGGUUGAAGAUUUCAAAAGCGCCUGCUCUGCACAAAAGCAGACUUCCGCUUCUCAAGCUUCUCCAAAGCCAUCAUGAUGGAGAAGCCUGACGUAACUUUGGUGCCUUCAAUACCAUUUAGUCUCUAUUUCUAGUCUUGGAUUCGUCAUGCUAAAGUUGGGAUUUGAAGUAUGAAAGGGUUUACUGAAAAAUAAUAAUAUGCAAACUCCCUCUUUCAAACGAUGAAACUUUAUGAGAAGAAAUGUAUCUUAGUUCGAUUUUGUUGCAGUUAAUGCCAUUUUAUGGUUCCUUGGCCCUAAAGCUGUGGUCAAGGCACUGGAAACUUCAACAGUUCUAUCAUCGUUUAUUGCUUCUAACAAUUUGAACAUGACUGUGGUGAAUAAAAGCUACUUUUCUAGCUUUCCUUA